This is an RNA transcript of Eucalyptus grandis, 3033 nucleotides long. It is a transcript of the gene named dehydrogenase/reductase SDR family member 12, with no coding region annotated. The record is from RefSeq and is a predicted model, not a curated record. The transcript is spliced from 6 exons. Lineage: Eukaryota; Viridiplantae; Streptophyta; Magnoliopsida; Myrtales; Myrtaceae.
GCCCGGCUUCGCAAGUUCAAGUCAGAAGAGAUGGAGGCUCGAAUGGAAGGGAAGAAUUGCAUAGUUACAGGAGCUAAUUCUGGACUUGGUUAUGCAACUGCAGAGGGUCUUGCUUCACGUGGGGCUAACGUUUAUAUGAUUUGCCGCGACAAGGACAGAGGAGAAGCUGCCCCCUCUUCGAUAAAAUCUACUAUGGGAAACCCAAAUGUGAAUUUGGAGGAAUGCAGUAGUUUCCAUUUAUUAUUUUUUAUUUGUCUCGAGAUAUUCUUAUGGGAGGAUUUUUGGCGUUUGCCUGUUGCUGCUCUUCAGAAGUCAUACUUCUGGAUGAUCGAGUAGAUCACCAGUUACAUAGAUAUUUGAUUACAUGUGAGUUGAUGCCUUUUUAAUCUAGUGUGCAGGUAUGUGAUCUUUCCUCUAUCAAUGAGAUCAAGUCAUUUGCAUCCAGAUUUUCUUCAAAGGAUUUGCCUCUUCAUGUCUUGGUUAAAAGUGCUGGCUUGCUUGAGCAUAAGCGGAUCACCAUGCCAGAAGGAAUUAAUGUUGCCUUUGCUUGAAAAAGUGGCGCCUGAUGCUCAAGUCAUCACUGUUUCUUUUGCUGGAAUGUAUACAAGUCCCUUGACUACUGAUCUAGAGUGAUGCCGACUUUGAGGGGGUGGAGCAAUAUGCUCGAAACAAGAGAGUUCAGGUGAGCAGCAUCACUUACUCACUGGUCAAUUCUUCUUUAUUCUGUAUAAUUUUUUUUUUUUUUUAGGGCAUUGCUCUUUCAGAACACUUAAGUGGGUUUAUUUGAGCAAUACAGUCCUACCCUGUCUUCUCAUCAGCAUGUCAAAAUCUUCUCUCCAUACAAAAUCUCCUAGUGAUGAACCAUCCAUUCUCUUUUAUGAACCAAUAUUCUGUUAUCUAACUCUUUCCUAAUUGAAUAUCUUAAUAUGAAAUUACUAGCUUCAGAACAUUGAUACGUUUUCAUUGAGGCCUUGAUUCUUUGGUGAGUUCCACCCAAUCCAUGACUAUAUCCGAAAAAAUUGAGAUUGAGGAUUGGGUGUCCCUCAAGGUGCAUGGGAGAGGCCCUAGAUGAUACAUACCGGUUAUGUCUGUGAAAGUCCCUCAUUAUGGGUUUGCAAUGGAUCUUCAUCGUUUUUUGAGAUUCUGUGUUAUUUCUAUGGGUAAAUUACGUUGACAUCGUUCGAGUUUUGGUCAAGUUACCUAGAGACCUUUAUUUCAGAGAGCGUAUCUGCACAAGCUACUCAACCGCUCCUCUGUAUAUUCAAAAACUACUUUUCUCAUUUUUACUAUCUUUAUUUUACAUACUUACUAAAAGAGCUGUUAGAGUAGCUCUUGAAAAUACGAUAAGGGAAGUCAAAGCCGUAGAGAUAUGAUUGUGAAAGGAACUUUUAUGAGAACUGUACUUACUUAAUCAAACAAACCGAGGGAAGUAUCGUCCUGUGUUUUUUUCCAUAGCCUUGGACAUUUGCUUUAUUUUUCACUUGAUAGAAGCAACACAUAAUCUGCUUAAUUUAUGAAAGAAAAAAAAAUUUCUUUCCGUUCCUAUACUCACACCUUUUUGUUAUCAAUUCCUUGUACUUUUAUUGUAAUUUUUCUAAUCAAGUCCUACUUUUACAAAUUUUCUAUCAAGUCCCUCUUAACACCAAAUCCAACCCAUUACAAUCAACCUGGCUAUUAGAUGAUGUCAUAAUGUGACGUGGAUAAAUUUUUUUCGAUAUGGACGAUUAUGUGGGCAUCUACAUUAGCUAAACUCUAUCGACAUCAUACUCUGACAUUGUCUACAUUCUGUAAAUUUUUCCAUGCGACCAUUUGGGCAUCUGCAUAUUUAUUCGCAUCAUAUUUUGGCUUUGUCUGACGGCCUCACCCGCUAAAUCUGGUCAGAUUUGGUGUCGUAGAGACUUUGUAAAAAUAGUGAGAAUUUGAUUAGACAAAUAAACGGUAUGGGCACUGAUUAGAAAAAAUCCCGGAAGUGGACGAAAAGCAAUAUUUUUCCUUUGUUAAAGUACCAAUGAGAUGACGUAAUAAGCAUCCCGUAGAUGUUACUUUGUUCAGAUCUGUAAUAUCUCUAUAUAGAUGCGUCCUUCCUUCGAAUGAAAAUGUGAUAUUUAAUGAUUCUGGUAUUUCCCUUUGAACUGCCUUAUAACAAAAUCAAAUCCCCGUACUUCAAGAGUUUUGCCUAUCUGCUCUGGUCCUCUUCUUCAGGUUAGAGGCAUGUUCUAUGAAUUAAUUUGGUCGGGUUGCUAAGACUUUACUACGGUUCCAUUUGACUCAGAUGAUAGUGAUUGCAACAAAGAAUUUGAGCUGACAAUUUUCAACAGAUUCAAGUACGAAACAAAUUCUUAAACUUGAUGAAAACUUUUAAACAUACUACAAUGGAUAAUCCGAUGUUUGGGAAGAGAGACGUGGUUGUGAAUUGCCAUAAUAUUUUAAAAGGUUGUGCUUUCCGCAGGAAGCUUCAUCUAGACGAAGUUGCUAUUCAUAGUCAUUGUUAACUCUUUUCUGUUCUAUUAGGUAGCGCUGACAGAAAAGUGGGCUGAGGUACACAAUGAGAGAGGGAUUGGCUUCUACUCGAUGCACGCUGGUUGGGCUGAGAUGCCGAGUGUUGCCAAGAGCUUGCCUGGUUUCUCUAAAUCGUAUGGCAAUCUUUUAUUUGCAGUUACUUUCUUGGUUCACUGCCUCCUAUUUACUUCGCUUUAUUUUUUACUCUGAUUAUUUAUCUUUCUUAUUGUUUGAGAAGUCUCUCUGGAAAGCUCAGAACUAAACAAGAAGGUGCCGACACAAUUAUUUGGUUGGCUUUACAGCCGAAAGACAAAUUGGUCUCUGGUGCAUUCUAUUUUGAUAGAGCACUGGCGCCGAAACAUCUUAUGUUUGCAGCUACUGGAGACUCUUAUACUCAUUGACUCGAUAAUUGGUAAACUAGUGUCUCUAUCUGGCCUUGCUUGAUGAAGCAGGAGUCAUUUCAAUAACGAAUCCAACCGUUGCUGUGGACUGUGAAUCAAAUUCAGAAGUUAAAUGUCUUUUUUUCCUCUUCAA